RNAcentral lists this small RNA (132 nucleotides) under Escherichia coli. RNAcentral's name for it is "RtT sRNA". It matches the Rfam family "RtT RNA". From Rfam's summary of the family: This family represents a bacterial cis-regulatory element known as RtT RNA. The exact function of RtT is unknown although it is thought that it may be involved in changing the cellular response in relation to amino acid starvation. RNAcentral also lists the same sequence under 1 other name. Lineage: Bacteria; Pseudomonadati; Pseudomonadota; Gammaproteobacteria; Enterobacterales; Enterobacteriaceae. The record is from RNAcentral.
AUUCUGCCCAAGCGGGGAAGGAUAAGAAGCUUCGACCAAGGUUCGACUUGAGCGCCAGCGAGAGAGCGUUGCCGCAGGCAACGACCCGAAGGGCGAAGCGCGCAGCGCUGAGUAAUCCUUCCCCCACCACCA